RNAcentral lists this ribosomal RNA (484 nucleotides) under uncultured bacterium. RNAcentral's name for it is "partial 16S ribosomal RNA". It matches the Rfam family "Bacterial small subunit ribosomal RNA", at positions 30 to 507 of the family's 1533-position model. The record is from RNAcentral.
AUUGAACGCUGGCGGCAGGCCUAACACAUGCAAGUCGAGCGGAUGAAGGGAGCUUGCUCCUGGAUUCAGCGGCGGACGGGUGAGUAAUGCCUAGGACUCUGCCUGGUAGUGGGGGAUAACGUCCGGAAACGGGCGCUAAUACCGCAUACGUCCUGAGGGAGAAAGUGGGGGAUCUUCGGACCUCACGCUAUCAGAUGAGCCUAGGUCGGAUUGGCUAGUUGGUGGGGUAAAGGCCUACCAAGGCGACGAUCCGUAACUGGUCUGAGAGGAUGAUCAGUCACACUGGAACUGAGACACGGUCCACACUCCUACGGGAGGCAGCAGUGGGGAAUAUUGGACAAUGGGCGAAAGCCUGAUCCAGCCAUGCCGCGGGUGUGAAGAAGGUCUUCGGAUUGUAAAGCACUUUAAGUUGGGAGGAAGUGCAGUAAGUUAAUAUCUUGCUGUUUUGACGUUACCAACAGAAUAAGCACCGGCUAACUUCGUG